UCCACUACUCCAGCCCUAACCCAACCCCAAACUCCAGAACCCUCGCUCUGCCUCUCUCACACUCAGUCCAUAGCUCUUCUCAUCGAGGUCCUGGUCCUCCGUCACUUCCUUCCAGCCACCGCCUGCUAAUGCCGCCGUCGGAACUUCCAACUUCAAACAGCCACCACCUUCUCCCUCACUUCCCCUCUAUCACGCAGCGGCCAUCGCAACCUUCCUAACCCUCCAUCACGCUACUCCCUUGCGAACGUGGAAGCCUCCAUCGCGCAACCACGGUCCCGCCGGCGCCAGCUCUGUUCCACUGUAGCCACUGUCCCGUUCCAAAGCCUGUUCGAAGUUGCUCCUUGUCUCGGUCUCUCCCUCUUGCAUACUCUGUUUAAGGCUUCUAGCUUCUAGUUUCAAUAGGAAGCAGAUAUAAAAAGCAGACCUUUCAAGUUUGUGCGAGUUGCUGUCCAUGUCCUGGAACCAAAAAUAAAAAAUCAAAGAAAUAAAAAAGAAGCAGGUAUUAUCAAUUAAAUUCAAUUCUGAGUAUUAUUGGUUGGACAAUUAUGAGAAUAUUAUUACUGUUUGUGAGUUGAAAACUUUAGAUUUAAUUGAUUUUUUUUGUGUUUGUGUAUGCACUUUUUGUAUCUUUUUCUUCACAGUUUUUCUUUUUUUAGUUUGGUUUAGUUUGUUGGAUCAACAUGUAUUUGGUUUCAUACUUUCAUUAAUAAGUUCUUAAUAUGUAUUUUUAUUU
Molecule: long non-coding RNA, 733 nt
Organism: Arachis duranensis
Lineage: Eukaryota; Viridiplantae; Streptophyta; Magnoliopsida; Fabales; Fabaceae
Exons: 3
Source: RefSeq, a predicted model, not a curated record